CGCAAACGGGAUUAGAUACCCCGGUAGUCCAGGGUGUAAACGCUGCUUGCUUGAUGUUAGUCGGGAUCCGAGCCCGAUUAGUGUCGGAGAGAAGUUGUUAAGCAAGCUGCCUGGGGAGUACGGCCGCAAGACUGAAACUUAAAGGAAUUGGCGGGGGAGCACCGCAACGGGUGGAGCGUGCGGUUUAAUUGGAUUCAACGCCGGAAAACUCACCGGAGGCGACGGUCACAUGAAGGCCAGGCUGACGACCUUGCCUGAUUCUCCGAGAGGUGGUGCAUGGCCGCCGUCAGUUCGUACCGUAGGGCGUUCUGUUAAGUCAGACAACGAACGAGACCCUCAUCUUUAGUUGCAACUGGUAAGUCCGCUUAUCAGGCACACUAGAGAAACCGCUGGUGAUAAAUCAGAGGAAGGUGAGGGCAACGGUAGGUCAGUAUGCCCUGAAUCCUCCGGGCUACACGCGCGCUACAAAGGCUAGGACAAUGGGUCCCGACACCGAAAGGUGAAGGUAAUCUCGAAACCUAGUCAUAGUUCGGAUUGAGGGUUGUAACUCAUCCUCAUGAAGGUGGAAUCCGUAGUAAUCGCGGAUCAAC
This 590-nucleotide ribosomal RNA is filed under the name Methanobrevibacter smithii. RNAcentral describes it as "bacterial SSU rRNA". It matches the Rfam family "Archaeal small subunit ribosomal RNA", at positions 718 to 1309 of the family's 1478-position model. Lineage: Archaea; Methanobacteriati; Methanobacteriota; Methanobacteria; Methanobacteriales; Methanobacteriaceae. The record is from RNAcentral.